Molecule: long non-coding RNA, 718 nt
Filed under: Ananas comosus (pineapple)
Lineage: Eukaryota; Viridiplantae; Streptophyta; Magnoliopsida; Poales; Bromeliaceae
Description: long non-coding RNA (ACOM_LNC041496)
Source: RNAcentral
UUUUAAAAAAUAUAUUCAAAUUUUGACAUCGUUUUAAAAUUUUGACAUAAAUUUUUAGUAUUUAAUCUUCAGUUUGAAUUUAAAUUAAUAUAUUAUAAAGAUAAAAUUGACAUAUUAAUUUAAUUAUAUUUAUAAUAUCUAUCUGAACCAAAUACCGAUAAUGGAAAUAGCUUAUUCCGAUUUUGAUUCUGGUGAAACAGAAUGAGAUAAUAAAUCAUUCUGAUUUCGUUUCUAACUUAUUCUCAUUCCGAUUCCGAUACCGAUUCGGACUUCAAACCAAACACACCCUACAAAUAGGAACUCUUCUUUCUCUCUCUCUCCUUCAUGCUAGUUCUGAAUUCGUAACUAGAGUUUCUCCAUCCCUAUUCAUUCAUGACGCAUGUUAUUUCGCCAAGUCGAGUGCCAGGGAAGCAUUAUUCAUUCAUGACGUGUGUUAUUUCGCCAAGUCGAGUGCUAGGAAAGCAUUUGUAAAUAGGUAAAGGAGAAAAAAAAUAAGGCAAGCGAGGGAGAAAAGAUUGCAAUAAUGAUAGAUUAGGUUAGUUUUAAUGGAGUAAGAAGAUGACAAUUGGAGAUUUUUUUGGAAAGACACUUUUGCACGAUUCUAAUAGUUGAGGCUUUUGGGAAGACUACUUGUGAUAGAAAAAUUGACAUUUCAUUUAUCUUCUAUUAAAAAAUAAACAGUGAGCUAACGGUAACAAAUCAGAGGAGCAAAUAUGAA